RNAcentral lists this ribosomal RNA (460 nucleotides) under uncultured bacterium. RNAcentral describes it as "partial 16S ribosomal RNA". It matches the Rfam family "Bacterial small subunit ribosomal RNA", at positions 338 to 795 of the family's 1533-position model. The record is from RNAcentral.
CCUACGGGAGGCAGCAGUGAGGAAUAUUGGUCAAUGGGCGGAAGCCUGAACCAGCCAAGUAGCGUGCGGGAUGAAGGCCCUACGGGUCGUAAACCGCUUUUGCACGGGGAUAACACCCUCCACUUGUGGAGGUCUGCAGGUACCGUGCGAAUAAGGGCCGGCUAAUUCCGUGCCAGCAGCCGCGGUAAUACGGGGGAUGCGAGCGUUAUCCGGAUUUAUUGGGUUUAAAGGGUGCGUAGGCGGCGCUUCAUGUCAGAGGUGAAAUACCGGGGCGCAACCCCGGGGCUGCCGUUGAAACCGGAGCGCUAGAGGUCCGGUGCCGUCGGCGGAAUGUGUGGUGUAGCGGUGAAAUGCAUAGAUAUCACGCAGAACACCGAUUGCGAAGGCAUCUGACGGAUCGGAGAUUGACGCUGAUGCACGAAAGCGUGGGUAUCGAACAGGAUUAGAUACCCGGGUAGUC